UAGGGAAUCUUCGGCAAUGGACGAAAGUCUGACCGAGCAACGCCGCGUGAGUGAAGAAGGUUUUCGGAUCGUAAAACUCUGUUGUUAGAGAAGAACAAGGACGUUAGUAACUGAACGUCCCCUGACGGUAUCUAACCAGAAAGCCACGGCUAACUACGUGCCAGCAGCCGCGGUAAUACGUAGGUGGCAAGCGUUGUCCGGAUUUAUUGGGCGUAAAGCGAGCGCAGGCGGUUUCUUAAGUCUGAUGUGAAAGCCCCCGGCUCAACCGGGGAGGGUCAUUGGAAACUGGGAGAAUUGAGUGCAGAAGAGGAGAGUGGAAUUCCAUGUGUAACGGUGAAAUGCGUAGAUAUAUGGAGGAACACCAGUGGCGAAGGCGGCUCUCUGGUCUGUAACUGACGCUGAGGCUCGAAAGCGUGGGGGGCAAACAGG
This 429-nucleotide ribosomal RNA is filed under the name Chloroflexota bacterium. RNAcentral's name for it is "Chloroflexi bacterium partial 16S ribosomal RNA". It matches the Rfam family "Bacterial small subunit ribosomal RNA", at positions 355 to 776 of the family's 1533-position model. Lineage: Bacteria; Bacillati; Chloroflexota. The record is from RNAcentral.